GACGAACGCUGGCGGCGUGCUUAACACAUGCAAGUCGAGCGGUAAGGCCCUUUCGGGGGUACGACGAGCGGCGAACGGGUGAGUAACACGUGGGUGACCUGCCCUCAGCUCUGGGAUAAGCCUGGGAAACCGGGUCUAAUACUGGAUAUGACUCCAUGACGCAUGUUGUGGGGUGGAAAGCCUUGUGCGGCUGAGGAUGGGCCCGCGGCCUAUCAGCUUGUUGGUGGGGUGANGGCCUACCAAGGCGACGACGGGUAGCCGGCCUGAGAGGGCGACCGGCCACACUGGGACUGAGACACGGCCCAGACUCCUACGGGAGGCAGCAGUGGGGAAGUCUUGCGCAAUGGGCGAAAGCCUGACGCAGCGACGCCGCGUGAGGGAUGACGGCCUCGGUUGUAAC
RNAcentral lists this ribosomal RNA (400 nucleotides) under uncultured bacterium. RNAcentral describes it as "bacterial SSU rRNA". It matches the Rfam family "Bacterial small subunit ribosomal RNA", at positions 28 to 429 of the family's 1533-position model. The record is from RNAcentral.